UAACCGUGGUAAUUCUAGAGCUAAUACAUGCUAAAAAUCCCGACUUCGGAAGGGAUGUAUUUAUUAGAUUAAAAACCAAUGCCCUUCGGGGCUCUCUGGUGAUUCAUGAUAACUUCUCGAAUCGCAUGGCCUUGCGCCGGCGAUGGUUCAUUCAAAUUUCUUCCCUAUCAACUUUCGAUGUUUGGGUAUUGGCCAAACAUGGUUGCAACGGGUAACGGAGGGUUAGGGCUCGACCCCGGAGAAGGAGCCUGAGAAACGGCUACUACAUCCAAGGAAGGCAGCAGGCGCGCAAAUUACCCAAUCCCGACUCGGGGAGGUAGUGACAAUAAAUACUGAUACAGGGCUCUUUUGGGUCUUGUAAUUGGAAUGAGUACAAUUUAAAUCCCUUAACGAGGAACAAUUGGAGGGCAAGUCUGGUGCCAGCAGCCGCGGUAAUUCCAGCUCCAAUAGCGUAUAUUAAAGUUGUUGUGGUUAAAAAGCUCGUAGUUGAACCUUGGGCCUGGCUGGCCGGUCCGCCUCACCGCGUGUACUGGUCCGGCCGGGCCUUUCCCUCUGUGGAACCCCAUGCCCUUCACUGGGUGUGGCGGGGAAACAGGACUUUUACUUUGAAAAAAUUAGAGUGCUCCAGGCAGGCCUAUGCUCGAAUACAUUAGCAUGGAAUAAUAGAAUAGGACGUGUGGUUCUAUUUUGUUGGUUUCUAGGACCGCCGUAAUGAUUAAUAGGGACAGUCGGGGGCAUCAGUAUUCAAUUGUCAGAGG
RNAcentral lists this ribosomal RNA (758 nucleotides) under Penicillium sp. CMW8605. RNAcentral's name for it is "SSU rRNA". It matches the Rfam family "Eukaryotic small subunit ribosomal RNA", at positions 144 to 911 of the family's 1831-position model. Lineage: Eukaryota; Fungi; Ascomycota; Eurotiomycetes; Eurotiales; Aspergillaceae. The record is from RNAcentral.